RNAcentral lists this ribosomal RNA (1435 nucleotides) under Sinorhizobium sp. NIASMXIV. RNAcentral describes it as "bacterial SSU rRNA". It matches the Rfam family "Bacterial small subunit ribosomal RNA". The record is from RNAcentral. Lineage: Bacteria; Pseudomonadati; Pseudomonadota; Alphaproteobacteria; Hyphomicrobiales; Rhizobiaceae.
UGCAGUCGAGCGCGUAGCUUACAGCUUGCUACUUAUGACUAUCGCGUGGGACUCUACCCUUUUCUACGGAAUAACCUGCCCUAUCUUGUGCUAAUACCGUAUACACCCUUUGGGGGAAAGAUUUCACUCAGGAUAAAGCUCCUGUGUAGGAUACGUGAUCAACAUGAUGUCGGAGGCUUACACGCCUACAAGGUGCCACCAUCCUAUACCUGGUAUGGAGCAUGGAUCUCAGCACAUCUAGGACUGAAACACAGCACCGAAUUCUUCCUACGGGAAUGCAGCAUGCGUGAAUGAUUGAACAAUCGGCUGCAACGCAUGAUCCAACCAUGACGCGUGAGAAUCUGAUCCGUAGAACGGAAGAUGCAAUACAUCAUUCACCGGUGAAGAUAAUGACAGUAACCAGUAGAAGCAAGCCCGGCUAUAACUUCGUGCCAACAACCACGGGAAUACCUAGGAAGUGGCAUAGCUUGUUCGUCCAAAUAUACUGGGCCCAAAGCGAAGCUUAGGGCCACAUUUAACUCGAGGGGUGAAAUCCCCGGGCUCUGUCAACGCGAGAGUCACUGUUUGAUACUGGGUGUCUAGAGUCCCGAAAAGGAGAAUGGAAUUCACAGUGGAGCAGGUCAAGUUCGUACAUAUGUCAGAGGAACACACAGUGGGCGAAGGCGACUCACUGGUCCGUACCUGGAAGUCUGACGGUGACGUGAGAGAUGCGAGGAGCGCACACAAGAUUAGAGACCGAUGGUAGUACACUGCUGCAAGACGAAGAAUGUAUAGCCGUCAGGGCAGUCUACUCUACAGUGGAUGCAGAUAACGCAUUAAACAUUCCCCCUGACGAGGACGGUCGCUACAUGAUUAAAACUCAACGCACGGAAUUGACGGGGGCCCGCACAAGCGGUGGAGCAUGUGGUUUAAUUCGAAGCAACGCGCAGAACCUUACCAGCCCUUGACAUCCCGGUCGCGGAUAACAGGGAUGUUUUCUUUCAUUUCGGACAGACCGGAGACAGGUGGCACAUGGGUGUUGUCAGCUUGUGUCGAGAGAUGGGGGUAUAUGUCCCGCAACGAGCGCAACCCUUUCCUAUAGUUCCCAGCAUAUGGUGGCGCUCUAUAAGGGGACUGCCGGUCAUAAGCCGAGAGGAAGGGGGGGAUGACGUCAAGUCAUCAUGGCCCUUACGGGGUGGGCUACACACGUGCAACAAUGGUGGCAACAGUGGGCAGCGAGACGAGGGGGUCGAGAUAAUCUCCAAAAGCCAUCACAGUUGGGAUUACACUGCACAUCUCGAGCACAAGAAGUGGAAUCGUUAGUAAUGGCAGAUCAGCAUGCUGCGGAAAUAGUUUCCCGGCCUUUUACACACCGCCGGUCACACCAGGGGAGUUGUUUCUACCGGAAGGUAGUGCGGUAACCGCAAGGAGCAGCAACCAAGUUGUUCAGAAAGCU